RNAcentral lists this small RNA (174 nucleotides) under Salix viminalis (osier). The record is from RNAcentral. Lineage: Eukaryota; Viridiplantae; Streptophyta; Magnoliopsida; Malpighiales; Salicaceae.
UGAAUCUGGUGAAUUCAUUCAGGUAUUGUCAGGCUGUUUUAAAAUCCCUAAAAACUGGUCGAGCUCCUGAAGUAGAAACAUGGAAACAAUUAGUACUGUCCCUUGAGGAAAGGAGUAGAGCCCAUCAGCAGGUAAUGAUUAAUCGUUAACUCUCACUUCGUUUUCUUUCUUUUG